GCACCACAAGGCGUGGAGCGUGCGGUUUAAUUGGAGUCAACACCGGAAACCUUACCGGGGGCGACAGCAGGUUGAAGGCCAGAUUGACGAUCUUGCCAGACAAGCUGAGAGGAGGUGCAUGGCCGUCGCCAGUUCGUGCCGUGAGGUGUCCUGUUAAGUCAGGCAACGAUCGAGACCCACGUUCCCUGUUGCUACCAAAGAAAGUUUCCAAGGGGCACACUGGGAGGACAGCCGCCGAUAAGGCGGAGGAAGGAGUGGGCCACGGCAGGUCAGUAUGCCCCGAAUCCCCCGGGCCACACGCGUGCUGCAAUGGCCGGUACAAUGGGUUCCGACCUCGUGAGAGGAGGGUAAUCCCUAAAGCCGAUCGUAGUUUGGAUCGAGGGCUGCAACCCGCCCUCGUGAAACUGGAAUGCCUAGUAAUCGCGUGUCAUUAACGCGCGGUGAAUACGUCCCUGCUCCUUGCACACACCGCCCGUCGUCCCACUCGAGUGGGUUUUGGGUGAGGCGCGGUCCUUGGUGGCUGUGUCGAGCCUGAGGUUCGCGAGAGGGGAA
Molecule: ribosomal RNA, 552 nt
Filed under: uncultured archaeon
Lineage: Archaea
Description: bacterial SSU rRNA
Rfam family: Archaeal small subunit ribosomal RNA
Source: RNAcentral